AGCAGCCGCGGUAAUUCCAGCUCCAAUAGCGUAUAUUAAAGUUGUUGCAGUUAAAAAGCUCGUAGUUGAAUUUCGGGAUCAAUAUAUCGGUCGUGCCUUGGUACGUACUGGUAUCAUUGGUUUCUCCUUUCUGACGAACCAUGAUGUCAUUAAUUUGGUGUUAUGGGAAGUUAGGACUGUUACUUUGAAAAAUUAGAGUGUUUAAAGCAGGCUUUAGCUUGAAUACAUUAGCAUGGAAUAAUGAAAUAGGACGUUCGAACCUAUUUUGUUGGUUUCUAGGAUCAACGUAAUGAUUAAUAGGGAUAGUUGGGGGCAUUAGUAUUCAAUUGUCAGAGGUGAAAUUCUUGGAUUUAUUGAAGACUAACUACUGCGAAAGCAUUUGCCAAGGAUGUUUCAUUAAUCAAGAACGAAAGUUAGGGGAUCGAAGACGAUCAGAUACCGUCGUAGUCU
Molecule: ribosomal RNA, 450 nt
Filed under: uncultured Glomus
Lineage: Eukaryota; Fungi; Glomeromycota; Glomeromycetes; Glomerales; Glomeraceae
Description: SSU rRNA
Rfam family: Eukaryotic small subunit ribosomal RNA
Source: RNAcentral